RNAcentral lists this ribosomal RNA (445 nucleotides) under uncultured bacterium. RNAcentral describes it as "partial 16S ribosomal RNA". It matches the Rfam family "Bacterial small subunit ribosomal RNA", at positions 354 to 796 of the family's 1533-position model. The record is from RNAcentral.
GUGAGGAAUAUUGGUCAAUGGGCGGGAGCCUGAACCAGCCAAGUCGCGUGAAGGAAGAAGGAUCUAUGGUUCGUAAACUUCUUUUGCAGGGGAAUAAAGUGCAGGACGUGUCCUGUUUUGUAUGUACCCUGAGAAUAAGGAUCGGCUAACUCCGUGCCAGCAGCCGCGGUAAUACGGAGGAUCCGAGCGUUAUCCGGAUUUAUUGGGUUUAAAGGGUGCGUAGGUGGUUUGAUAAGUCAGUGGUGAAAGUUUGCAGCUUAACUGUAAAAAUGCCGUUGAAACUGUCGGACUUGAGUGUAAAUGAGGUAGGCGGAAUGCGUGGUGUAGCGGUGAAAUGCAUAGAUAUCACGCAGAACUCCGAUUGCGAAGGCAGCUUACUAAGCUACAACUGACACUGAAGCACGAAAGCGUGGGGAUCAAACAGGAUUAGAUACCCGAGUAGUCC